UACGGAGGGAGCUAGCGUUGUUCGGAAUUACUGGGCGUAAAGGGCUCGUAGGCGGCCAACUAAGUCGGAUGUGAAAUCCCCAGGCUUAACCUGGGAACUGCAUCCGAUACUGGAUGGCUUGAAUUCGGGAGAGGGAUGCAGAAUUCCAGGUGUAGCGGUGAAAUGCGUAGAUAUCUGGAGGAAUACCGGUGGCGAAGGCGGCAUCCUGGACCGAGAUUGACGCUGAUGAGCGAAAGCUAGGGGAGCAAACGGG
Molecule: ribosomal RNA, 253 nt
Filed under: uncultured bacterium
Lineage: Bacteria
Description: partial 16S ribosomal RNA
Rfam family: Bacterial small subunit ribosomal RNA
Source: RNAcentral